GGUAGCUGAGAUUGUCAAGAUUUGUGGAUUAAUAAAGCUGUGUGGGAUGGAGAAAACAGAGUGGUCAAAUGUGACUUGCCAGUUUCAAACUUGUGGAGAUGAGUUUUGGUAGAGUCAGUUACUGAAAUAUGACUGGCUAGAAAGUACGCAUGUGCAUGGAUGUAUACAUGCAUAUGUGGGGGUAUGUAUGUAGAUGGAGUUGGUUAGGGAGUUGUUAUAAAAGACCAGACAAGAGAAUUAACAAUCAUAACAAUAGAAUGGGAAUCAAACAAAUAGCAUUUCACCAAAUUUAUAAACAUUUUAAGGUUGUUAGAAAGAAUUCAUGUAGACUUAGAAAGUGGUGAUUUCACAAUUUUUAUACCCCAUUUGUAGUUUUCUAGAUCAUUAUUUGAUAGCCUUUCUGUGCACUUGAGUGUUGAGUCAAUGCCUCAUUAAUUUAGUUAAUGUUUACAUAGGAAGAGAAUUUUAAACCAUCUUAUAUGAUUAAAAUGUAUUAUUAAAACAUUAAAAAUAUUUAUUAUCACUUUAUAAUUUCGUAUCUCUGAUGUAAAAAUGAGUGCACUAUUUCAACAAAGUGUUAAUUUAUUAGCUACAGUAGCUAUAGUACAAUGGGAGCUGCUACCUAUACCCGAGCAUUCUUUUUUAAGAAACACAGUAAUUUGAGAAUUGUUCAAUUGUAGAGGCUUAAAAAUAAACAGAGUCAAGAAAAAGCCACAUAUGGCUCAUCUACAUGAAAGAUGGCUAGAAGUUCAACUCAGCUUGCUUCUUCAGGGAGUGAUAUUCUUCAGACAUUUCGCUGAAUUCACAUAUAAUGUUCAUCCAAGUGGCUCAUAGCAUCUGCAGAAAAAGCCUCAUUCUGGGCUUGCAAACAUUCUUCUUUUAAAAUGAUAAACAUUACUCUUGAAAAUGCCAGUAUAAAAAAUGAGUUUUCAAAAUACUCAUUCAGAGCAGAUAUCAAUAAGAUGGUAGGUCUACCUGGGCUAAGAAUUGUGGGUGGCCAGCUCAGAGGCUACUUCUGUACACUCUGAUGGACAUUGGGAUAGCAGCCAAAGAUCCAGGGAAAAGUAGCCUCAUGAACUCUAAGAUUCUCUUGGUUUUCACCAUUUUGAACAAAAAGGUAAGCUAUGUUGUUCAUAUUAAUUCUCAGGGAUAUGGUCUGCCUUUAUUAUAUGUCUCCCUCUUUUCAGAAAAUGUAUAAAGAAUUCCAGCUCUCUAUCAGGAGCUGUACUAGGUGCUGGGGAUACAAAACACAGCUUCUGGUUUCAAGAAGCUUAUAGUCUGGCAAUAGGGAGAUUCUCUUCAUACCAUUCCUAGUAAUCAAACAACUAACUUAUGAUAAGUAUUCAAUAAGUGGAUAAAUGAAAUAAUAUAUAAUUCAUAAUUAUAAUCCAUACUGCUUGACUUGACUUCCAUGAUACCCCAAAGAGACCCCUGCACUUGAGUGGAUCAUUUUUUAUGCAAUAGCAAAUAGUUUGGGUAGGAAAUUUUUAUGCAUAUUUGCUGCAAAGCCUUCAAAUUUGCCAAAAUAGAUUUUUCUCUGUAAUUGUUGCUGUUACUCUACUGAACUUAUACCCAAAUGAUUCUUUGCUAAAUUAUUUGCUUAAAAGUAGUAAGACACUUUUGACCUAACUCAAAAGUGAAAAGUCGAAUAUACACAGCUAAACGGGAGACGGUUGCUUCAUUUAGCCACACACAGUGGGGGAGAAUGAUCAGCAAGUAUAUGGUGACCUGAAGGGCCUUCAGUUUAACUUUUUUCAUAGCAGUUCUCUUCUCCACAACUGUGCCUUCUUCUUUGAGUCUUUAAUGCCGUUCACUUUUCAAAAUCAGCUCUCAGGAAAGCACCAAUAGCUUUGCAGCAAAUAAGUGACUCUUAGGUUUUAAAGUGUAAGUCUCACUGUGAAAAAAGAUUUUUUUGUAACCUGGUAAAGGUAUUAUUAUCUUUGAGGGUCCAGGUUGGGGGUCAUGAGAAGGGUCAGGGAUCCUUCUCAGUAUCCCUGGAAUCAGACCACACAAACACUGCUUUGGUGCUCAUAAGAGUGGGUUGCUCUGAAUAAACAUCCAUGAUCAGUUAACUUGUUCAUUCAUUCUUUCAAUGAUUGAAUGGUGAAUAAGACAUAAAGAUUUUGGUGCUUGUGAGACAAAAUGGAGUUAUGAAGUGACAGAAAUUGUGAUUCAAAAGUAAAAGAUCUACGGUAAGUAAAAUGGAAAUAAUGAAGUCAGUAGAUGAGAGAGCUGAGUGGAGCAGACCCAGGAAAAAUAUAGACACCACCAAAGAAAGUAACUGGCCUCUAAUGUCUUGAAAGGACUGAGAGCAGAGCCACACCCGACCCACAGGCCCUUGGAAAAGCAUAUUGGAAAGUAUUUUAAAACUUUAAGCAGAAUGGAAGUGAGAAUUUAGGAACUCAAAGAUAAGCCCUGUGUACUCUUUCCUUCUAUCUCAUGUUAUCUUUAUCCCUCAUAAUUCCAGCUGUCCUUCCUCCAUUCAUGGCCACUUCUCUUCAUGACGUUUAAAAAAUUUUGGCCUGUCUUCAAACUAUUCAAUCUGUUACCCAUUUCUAGAAUACAAGUUGCAUGAGGGUAAGAUUGGCCCAGCUCGUCUAUAUACAAUGGACUUGCUGUACUUAUGUCAAGUGCCUUUAUCCUUGUCUAAUCCAUGCUGCAUCAGUGGCUGCCCAAGGCUGGGGUCAUGGGUAAGUAAGGAGGUGUUCUUUGAAAGAGAUUUGGGACACUGAUGGCAUGAAGGCUAAAAAAAUCUAGAGCAAAAAUGAGUUGCUAGAAUGUAAAAAAGCAAACUUUUUUGAUUUAUUUGUCGUGUACUACCUACUGCUCUAUACACUUUAUAUUUAACCUUAGUAAUAAUCCUUUCAACAUCAUUAUACUUACUUUUUAUAUGAGGAAACUGAGGUACAGAGCUAUUCCAUCAAAUGGAAGAGUUAAGAUUUGAACUCAGGCAGCCUGGUUUCCAAACCUAUUUACACAAAUAUUAUGUUCUACUGAAUGGUUUUAAAUUCUGUUUUCUCAUUUAGUAUUGGUUAUGUGAUUUUAGGCAAGAAAUACAACUUUUUAAAAUUCCAGUUUUUCCAUUCAUCCAAUGAAGAUAAUACCUGUCCACAUAUCACAUAAGAUUUUCCUCUGGAUUAAGUAAGAAUGUAUUUGAGAAUUCUUUUUAAACUGUAGUGUAAGGUAUUAUAGUUUAAGACAACAUUAUCAGUAACAAUAAGAGCAAAAAUACAGAGAAGUUUUAUUAAGUACUUAAUUUUCUGAUAGCACUUUAAAAAAUUCAUGCGUUCUUUGCCCUCAAAUUCCCAUUAUAAAAUAGCUGUUGUAAUCUUUUACACUUCCGUAUGAUGGUCUUUUGGGAAAUUUUCUAUUGAGGCUGAUCAGAUUACCGCUGUAUCAUCCAAGAAAUGAUAAUAUGGAAAAGGGCAAAUGUCCUGGAUCCACAUCUAUUUUUCUCCUUUUUCUCCUCCUACCCAUGAUUAUUUGUGGGUAGAUAAAUUUGUAACAUGUUUUAAAAGUGUCAGAUGAAAGAUGUUAAAAUCAGUAUGUUCUGUUACAUUGUUUUUUUUCUUGAGGCUUUCAACAACAAACUGUACAAUGGAAAGUUCUUUUAACUUACUAUUUAUCUGUAGUUACAUGUCUGUUCUAUUUUAUAGCACUUAGAUUAUUUACACAGCAUACAUCUAAAUAAAUGCUCUAAAAAUAAAUCAGUCGAAUAUAUUUUUAACAUUUAUCCUUUCUUUUAACAAAUCAGGUAGGAACACCAGUGUGUUUCAAAGGGAAUAAUUGGGAACUGAGGCAGUUUUCUUCCUUCCAGGUUUCUCUGUUGCAGUAGCAAGCACAUUAAGUGCCAAAAUAGCAUUAAGCCCAAGAACAUAUUAGCUUGCUAUGGGAUGCCUAGAGCUCCAUGGUAACAAUUAUUUGCAGAAUUCACAAGAUACACUCUUUGAAUUAAAAGAUACUUAUAUCAUUUUAGGAAAAAUAACAUGCAUAGGUGAAGGAGAAUAGGGGAAGAGUUAAACCAGACUAUUUUUUUCAAGAAUAGAUUUUAUCCAUAAAUUAAUCCUUUUCUAUGGUUAUAUUUAUGUCAUUUCACUUUCCUUUCUUAUAUUUCUCAUCUUCAUUCACCUUGAAAAAGGAUAUAUUUGUGCUUGUAGUCUGCUGGGGGAUUGCAUAUGGUUAUGAGGUUGGGAAGAUAUUACAUUUCACCUCAUAAAGUUGGUUAUGUCCUCUGAGUAUGCAUAAAAAUGAAAUUUCCUUUAUUUGUUUGCUGUUGGAGUAAGAUUCUCAGAUUUUGCUUGUUUUCAUUUUAAGUAGGUUGAUGACCAUAUCCUCCUCCUGUCCUGCAUAAUGUUUUCUUAUGCCUUUACCUCUGGGGCAAUAACUUGUAUUCAUAAACACAGAGGUAAGAGUUAGAGGUGGUCACCUGCAGAUAUGGUAUACAUGGUCAAAGGUUCAGUUAUUACCCAGUGGCCCUGGAAGAAAUUAUGUCAUUAAAAGCAUAAAUGAAAGGGUCCUUUGGAGUUGAGAGGGUUUAGAAGAUGUGAAAUGAAUACUAUCACCAUUUUCUUCUGGUCAUAGAAUCACUGGAAGCAAUAAACUUUGUCAAAAAUUAUUGACCAGUUAUAUCUUUUCUUUUACCUCUGAUUAUGAUCCUAAAAUCCUUCUCCCACUUAGAUCUAAAAAUGUAAUCCAAAGCUGGAUUAGUUUAUGAGAUUCCAUUUUAAUUUCUAAAUGACAAGACUAUGGACUUAAUAGAUAUUUGUAGAACAUUGAAUCCAAAAGCAACAGAAUACACAUUCUUCUCAAAUGUGCAUGGAAGAUUUUCUAAGCUAUAUCAUAUGUUAGGUCACAAAACAGUCCAAGUAACUAUAAGAGGAUUUAAAUCACAUUAAGCUUCUUUCCCAACUUCAAUGAAAACUAGAAAUUAUGUGAAAAAAAUUGAAAAUUUGCAAAUAAGUGGAGAUUAAACAGCAUGCUACUGAAUAACCAGUGGGUCAAAGAAGAUAUCAAAGUACAAAUCAAAAACUACUGUACAACAAAUGAAAAUAGAAAUUAAACAUAUCAAAAUGUAUGGGAUGCAGUUCUAAGAGGGAAAUUCAUAGUGAUAAACACCUAUUCAAGAAACAAGAUGGAGUUCCCGUGUGGCUCAGUGGUUAACGAAUCCGACUAGGAACCAUGAGGUUGUGGGUUCGAUCCCUGGCUUGCUCAGUGGGGUAAGGAUCUGGUGUUGCCAUGAGCUAUGGUGUAGGUUGCAGACGCGGCUUGGAUCUCACGUUGCUGUGGCUCUGGUGCAGGCUUGUGGCUACAGCUCCAAUUAGACCCCUAGCCUGGGAAACUCCAUGUGUUGCAGCUGCAGCCCUAG
RNAcentral lists this long non-coding RNA (5365 nucleotides) under Sus scrofa (pig). Its description in RNAcentral is "lncRNA (ENSSSCG00000058411.1)". Lineage: Eukaryota; Metazoa; Chordata; Mammalia; Artiodactyla; Suidae. The record is from RNAcentral.